GAUGAACGCUGGCGGCGUGCUUAACACAUGCAAGUCGAACGGAAAGGCUCUGCUUUUGUGGGGUGCUCGAGUGGCGAACGGGUGAGUAACACGUGGGUGACCUGCCCUUCACUUUGGGAUAAGUCCGGGAAACUGGGUCUAAUACCGGAUAGGACCUCCUUCUGCAUGGUGUUGGGGGAAGUUUUUCGGUGUGGGAUGAUCUCGCGGCGUAUCAGCUUGUUGGUGGGGUAGUGGCGUACCAAGGCGUCGACGGGUAGCCGGCCUGAGAGGGUGUCCGGCCACAUUGGGACUGAGAUACGGCCCAGACUCCUACGGGAGGCAGCAGUGGGGAAUAUUGCACAAUGGGCGCAAGCCUGAUGCAGCAACGCCGCGUGGGGGAUGACGGCCUUCGGGUUGUAAACUGCUUUCGCUAGGGACGAAGCGCGAGUGACGGUAACUGGAGAAGAAGCACCGGCUAACUACGUG
RNAcentral lists this ribosomal RNA (465 nucleotides) under uncultured bacterium. RNAcentral's name for it is "partial 16S ribosomal RNA". It matches the Rfam family "Bacterial small subunit ribosomal RNA", at positions 28 to 507 of the family's 1533-position model. The record is from RNAcentral.